AAAGCGGUGGUGUUCAAUGGAAGCAUGCCCGAUUCUCAGUCGGGAGGUACCAGUUCGACUCUGGUUCGUUU
RNAcentral lists this transfer RNA (71 nucleotides) under Armatimonas rosea. RNAcentral describes it as "tRNA-Glu". The record is from RNAcentral. Lineage: Bacteria; Bacillati; Armatimonadota; Armatimonadia; Armatimonadales; Armatimonadaceae.